This 505-nucleotide ribosomal RNA is filed under the name uncultured bacterium. RNAcentral's name for it is "partial 16S ribosomal RNA". It matches the Rfam family "Bacterial small subunit ribosomal RNA", at positions 30 to 523 of the family's 1533-position model. The record is from RNAcentral.
AUUGAACGCUGGCGGCAGGCCUAACACAUGCAAGUCGAACGGUAACAGGAAACAGCUUGCUGUUUCGCUGACGAGUGGCGGACGGGUGAGUAAUGUCUGGGAAACUGCCUGAUGGAGGGGGAUAACUACUGGAAACGGUAGCUAAUACCGCAUAACGUCGCAAGACCAAAGAGGGGGACCUUCGGGCCUCUUGCCAUCGGAUGUGCCCAGAUGGGAUUAGCUAGUAGGUGGGGUAACGGCUCACCUAGGCGACGAUCCCUAGCUGGUCUGAGAGGAUGACCAGCCACACUGGAACUGAGACACGGUCCAGACUCCUACGGGAGGCAGCAGUGGGGAAUAUUGCACAAUGGGCGCAAGCCUGAUGCAGCCAUGCCGCGUGUAUGAAGAAGGCCUUCGGGUUGUAAAGUACUUUCAGCGGGGAGGAAGGGAGUAAAGUUAAUACCUUUGCUCAUUGACGUUACCCGCAGAAGAAGCACCGGCUAACUCCGUGCCAGCAGCCGAGUAA